This 1987-nucleotide long non-coding RNA is filed under the name Sorghum bicolor (sorghum). RNAcentral's name for it is "long non-coding RNA (SBIC_LNC001465)". Lineage: Eukaryota; Viridiplantae; Streptophyta; Magnoliopsida; Poales; Poaceae. The record is from RNAcentral.
AUGGUUUCGUGAUGCCCAUUGGACAACAAAGGGGGAUUGCGACUAUUUGUUAUCAUCACGAAUUCAUUACUUUGUCACAUCAGGCAUCAACGGAUAUUUCGUGCCCCUCCAAAGGUUUAUUUUCAGCAUGCAUGUUUAGGUGUUUUUGUGAUUGGCAAAGAUAAAGUUGGCUACAAGGCUCAUAUCAAGAUCAGGUGAGUCCCAUGACUGCAGCUGCACUGUCAUACAAGGCACUAAUUGUAAUAGGUUGCCUUAGCUUUUCCAAGUGGUUCUUGCUACUGAUGCACAUGGUGUCAUUGCGAGAGCAAAGGCUAACCAAAGUGCCGUACCGGACACAUUCUUAUUGCUUCCAAAAUAAAGUUUAGUUCUUUCAGAAUGAUUAUUGCAAUCGAAAAUAGAGAAUGUUUAUUGCAAUUUACAAACAGUAAUAGAGCAUGAAACUAAAAUUGUGCCUUUAAUUCAUUACUGGCAGAAAGUCGUACAAACAGGCAAUCUGAGAUGGUACUACUUCAACUGUAACUUUUUAAAUAAUAACUAAUCUUGGUUCAUAACUUUUGGAAACAAAUGGUACAGCACUAGUAUGCAUGUAUCAUUUAUAUGUUAUUAGAACACAACUAAUUAACAUGUCACAUUAUUUCCUAUCCCUUAUAGUCAGACUACACACUUGUAUAAAACUUACCAGUGUGACUUUUCUUUCUGUCCUCAUCCAUGCUGCUAGUGUUGUUUUCCAUCCCUCUGCUAAUUAAAGUAUAAAAUGAACACGAACUCUCUUUGUCCUGUGACUCCUAAUUAAGACCAGAGAGACUUCUCCUCCCUUCUUUCUAUCUACAACAAAAAACUGUUGUUUCUUUUUUUUUUUCAUUGUCCUGUGUAAAAACUCUGCCAUCCCAUUGGACCUUAAGAAGAUAUCGAACCAAUCAAUGACUAUUGAGGGUCCAAGGAUGCUUUAUCUCCCUUUUCCUUCCAAUUACAUGAUUGUGGAUAUGCUGUUUCCACCAGGCACAGCUGAUGCAAAUGGACUUUCUGGGAGGAGUUCGAUCUGAUUGCUGCAAUUAGGAAUGUGUUAUUAUCCACUAAAAUAUUACACAGAUGAUAUACGAUAGGACCAACGCUAGCGUGCAAUGCAAUGUUUGUUUGAUUGUGUUUACUAGUAAAUAAUAAUGGGGUACCUCUCUUUAUCAUCGUAGUUGUUGCUUGCCUGCGUUUGGGGAGGUUGGCUCGUGGAGACCAUUUCCAAGGAAUCGGACGUCAUGAGGGGAUGGUCCAUCAGCUGGUCGACAUCGUCUUUAGAAUCUGAUUAGCGAUCAAAAAAUUGGAAAAAGGAAAAGGAGACUUAACCUUACGGUUAAAGAUGGAAUUCUAAGGUGAAAAAUGAUGGCAUUGCGGACCUGAUGCCGGGAGGCAAUUGAGGGGAUUCACGCCAUCGUCCCCAAUGCUGCAAUCGAAGUAGGCAUACUGCUGUGGCAAAGAGUCAAGCCUGACUGCCCCUGCGAAGCGCUUUCUCUCGAUCUCGAUCAUCCUCUCCCUCUUCUCUGCCAAUUGCUUUCUCACCAUCCUGCUUGAAGGCUCGUAUUCAUCUAGAGCGAGCAAAAUAAGUAGUCGGUGUCAGUGGUUGCGGAUCAUCGUAAAAUGUAGAGAGUAAGGGUAUUUAGCCAUUACCUGAAUAAAAGUCCGGAUGAUCAUCAAUCUCAACGAAACGGGUAGGGUAGUACUGCAUCGGCUUCAUCUUGUCCACGCACGUCCUGGGAUAGCUGGAACUUCUAUUAGGUUUGCACACACAAAAGCAUGGUAUAUCGAAAAAUAAAAAAGCUAGAAAAAUCAGAUACAUUGUUGAUUACCGUUCGAUGCACUUGGAUUUCUCUCUAUAGGGUUUAACAAGGACCCUUGAUCCACAGAUGAAAUGUGGGUUGCGCCUCAUGAGUAUGGUGCUAACCGUCUCCGGAUUCUGGAAGCUCACAAAGCCAAACAUACGCCUCUCCUGGCACGG